UUGGAGGGCAAGUCUGGUGCCAGCAGCCGCGGUAAUUCCAGCUCCAAUAGCGUAUAUUAAAGUUGUUGCAGUUAAAAAGCUCGUAGUUGAAUUUCGGGAUUAGUACGCUGGUCAUGCCUUCGGUACGUACUGGUGUUACUGAUUUCUACCUUCUGACGAACCAUCAUGUCAUUAAUUUGGUGUGGUGGGGAAUCAGGACUGUUACUUUGAAAAAAUUAGAGUGUUUAAAGCAGGCUCGCGCUUGAAUACAUUAGCAUGGAAUAAUGAAAUAGGACGUUGAUCCUAUUUUGUUGGUUUCUAGGAUUGACGUAAUGAUUAAUAGGGAUAGUUGGGGGCAUUAGUAUUCAAUUGUCAGAGGUGAAAUUCUUGGAUUUAUUGAAGACUAACUACUGCGAAAGCAUUUGCCAAGGAUGUUUUCAUUAAUCAAGAACGAAAGUUAGGGGAUCGAAGACGAUCAGAUACCGUCGUAGUCUUAACCAUAAACUAUGCCGACUAGGGAUCGGAUGAUGUUAUUUUUAAUGACUCAUUCGGCGCCUUACGAGAAAC
This 546-nucleotide ribosomal RNA is filed under the name uncultured Glomeromycotina. RNAcentral describes it as "SSU rRNA". It matches the Rfam family "Eukaryotic small subunit ribosomal RNA", at positions 548 to 1098 of the family's 1831-position model. Lineage: Eukaryota; Fungi; Glomeromycota. The record is from RNAcentral.